GACGAACGCUGGCGGCGUGCUUAACACAUGCAAGUCGAGCGGUAAGGCCCUUUCGGGGGUACACGAGCGGCGAACGGGUGAGUAACACGUGGGUGACCUGCCCUUAGCUCUGGGAUAAGCCUGGGAAACUGGGUCUAAUACCGGAUAUGACUCCAUGACGCAUGUUGGUGGGGUGGAAAGCCUUGUGCGGCUAGGGAUGGGCCUGCGGCCUAUCAGCUUGUUGGUGGGGUGAUGGCCUACCAAGGCGACGACGGGUAGCCGGCCUGAGAGGGCGACCGGCCACACUGGGACUGAGACACGGCCCAGACUCCUACGGGAGGCAGCAGUGGGGAAUCUUGCGCAAUGGGCGAAAGCCUGACGCAGCGACGCCGCGUGGGGAUGACGGCCU
RNAcentral lists this ribosomal RNA (388 nucleotides) under uncultured bacterium. RNAcentral describes it as "bacterial SSU rRNA". It matches the Rfam family "Bacterial small subunit ribosomal RNA", at positions 28 to 417 of the family's 1533-position model. The record is from RNAcentral.